RNAcentral lists this long non-coding RNA (264 nucleotides) under Lathyrus oleraceus (garden pea). Its description in RNAcentral is "Pisum sativum (pea) long non-coding RNA (PSAT_LNC039033)". The record is from RNAcentral. Lineage: Eukaryota; Viridiplantae; Streptophyta; Magnoliopsida; Fabales; Fabaceae.
AAAGGAAAGGUUAGAAAGUGAACAAAAACCUAAUAGUUUUACAAACAAAACUAGUAAAAGAAACAGAGAUCUGGGUAAGGGGGUUGGUUAUGUUAUGGGAAGGUGUUAGGCACCCAAAAUAUCCUAGGUACUCCUAGAGAACCUCUUUUCACACUUGUUGUAAUGUUAUUGUUUUUGUGAAAAUUUAUUGUGCAAACAUGAUUGAAGAGAUGAGAAGAGAAUAUACAAGUUAUUUACAUUUUUGUGUUUGGAUGGAUAAACCCA